GAUGAACGCUGGCGGCGUGCCUAAUACAUGCAAGUCGAGCGAACAGACGAGGAGGUUGCUCCUCUGACGUUAGCGGCGGACGGGUGGGUAACACGUGGAUAACCUACCUAUAAGACUGGGAUAAAUUAGGGAAACCGGAGCUAAUACCGGAUAAUAUAUUGAACCGCAUGGUUCAAUAGUGAAAGACGGUUUUGCUGUCACUUAUAGAUGGAUCCGCGCCGCAUUAGCUAGUUGGUAAGGUAACGGCUUACCAAGGCAACGAUGCGUAGCCGACCUGAGAGGGUGAUCGGCCACACUGGAACUGAGACACGGUCCAGACUCCUACGGGAGGCAGCAGUAGGGAAUCUUCCGCAAUGGGCGAAAGCUUGACGGAGCAACGCCGCGUGAGUGAUGAAGGUCUUCGGAUCGUAAAACUCUGUUAUUAGGGAAGAACAAAUGUGUAAGUAACUAUGCACGUCUUGACGGUACCUAAUCAGAAAGCCACGGCUAACUACGUG
This 497-nucleotide ribosomal RNA is filed under the name uncultured bacterium. RNAcentral's name for it is "partial 16S ribosomal RNA". It matches the Rfam family "Bacterial small subunit ribosomal RNA", at positions 28 to 507 of the family's 1533-position model. The record is from RNAcentral.